AAGGAGGUGGCAGAAGUUCCUGAGAAACCCAGCUGUUGGUGUCUUUCCACCAUCAGUUUCAGGCAGGUACUGAGCCUGAGGAUGACUCCAGCACUCUUGGUCAAAACACCUCAGUAAAAGGGAAAUGGAUCAGAAACAAGAUGUUGGCAUUCUGCCACAAGAUCCUCCCACCCCGCUAACACCUGAAGGAAAACAGAAAGGAGGAAGAAACACUCACCAUGGUAGGUGAAAUGGCCCAGAAAUGCAAACACUGCUUCGCAUCUCACCUCUAUGGAAUUUCACACUAUGUUGAGUGAAGGUGUCUAACGGUUUGUAUAUACAUAUAUACACAAACACCAGAGGAGGCCUGUGGGGUGAGUAAGGUGACCAUCAGGAGAGAAGAGGAAGAAGAGAGGAGGAAAAUGGAGAGGUGACUGUCAGGGACGUACAAUGUCAUCGUGUGUGAAUCUGCACACUAUUUUGUAUGUUGGCUAAAAACAAUUUAGACACAAGCAAACAUGGAUAUCCCAGCUCCUCCAUGUCUGUCAACAGCAAGAGCAGUGUCUCAGAUGCCAGAAGGAUCACCUCGUUAUCUUAGAAAGCAUCUGUCAGAGGAGACAACAGAGCUAUCACAAAGGUUCUUGAG
Grammomys surdaster is the source of this 625-nucleotide long non-coding RNA. RefSeq lists it as uncharacterized. NCBI's taxonomy places the organism in Eukaryota, Metazoa, Chordata, Mammalia, Rodentia, Muridae. The transcript has 3 exons. The record is from RefSeq and is a predicted model, not a curated record.